CCCCCUUCCCAGGCCCGCAGCCCGCCCCCCUGAGGAUAUGAUUUUCCGUUUUCAAUAAGCUGCAAACGACACCACUGGGCACCCCAACAAGAGCUGGGUGAGCACGGAGGAAAAGCUCAUUUACACAGUGAGGAAGUUGAUAAAGCUGCACAGAAACAAGAAAGAACAUUGCACCGAAGGAAAAGAUGUAUCAACAAGUUCUUCCUGAAUGUGAGGAUUGAAAGAUUAGACUCUGUUCAGAAGGGCGACUUUAGCAGCCGACAAGCUAUGGUCUCAUUCAGAGGUCACCAUCAUAAAUGCGCGGCAAUCUGAGGCUUCUUCCAUGGCACACUGAUCGAGGAGACAUUGAUUAGACAUUAAUACUGAGUGUUUAAUAUUAUUUUAUACUGCUAAGGAAUGCAACAAUACAGCGAUUCGUACAUAGGGAGGCAUGAGUCACACUAUGUAUGAAUAUACACAUGCAUAUAGAGUGUAGAUGUGAAGGUGCCUGUGUGUGGUUGCACACAUGUGGGCACAUGCACAUACAUGUUUGCAUGCAUGUUCAGCUCAGAGGAUAGUCUUGGGUGUCAUUUACAAGCACCCCCCAUGCUGCUUUUUGAGACAGGGUCUCUCAUUGGCAUGAGAGUGGGUUGGCUGCCUGACCAACAAGCCUCAGGGAUCUGCCUGGUCUUUACCUCCCCAGUGCAGGGAUUACAAGUACCUGCCAUCAAUCUGGAUUCUAUUUUAAAUAUGGUUCUGAGGAUUGAACUCAGGUCCUUGUGCUUGUAAGGCAAGUACUAUACUGACUGAACCAUCUGCAGGUUAGUCCAGAUUUAUUUUUAAUACAGCCUAUUUCUACUAAACCGACAGGAGGAUAUGACAGAACGUUCUGUUGCAGGUCAUUUAUGACUAAAAUACAUUGAUGGAGUUUUCAAUCACAAAUCUGAUGUUCUCCAUGUACAUCUAUGCAGGCUUUAUUACACUUCACUGUGGCAUUUCAUGAACAUCUGAUGAGCAUAUAAGCAAGAUAUUUUGCAAUAAAGAUGCACACAGAAUAUACAACAAAUGUUACAUGAUACAGAGAAACAAAGCUCAUGAUCUUCACAUUUACAGAAACUUAUACAAUCUUCUCUGAAGGAAACGUGCUAUAAUUCAAACUUCUCAUCUUGAAAAUAAUCUGCAGAAUUGAGAUAGUCUUGCAGCUGAUCAUAUUUCUGCAUAUACAACAGAAAAUCAGUCAUUUUACUCACAACAACAUUAAGACAGACCUUUCUAACUACUUAAACACAUGUCUAAUGGAAAAGUAGGAACAAAAAUCACUUAAUUAUAAAUAGAAGCUCUAUUUCAAAUAAGCAUUUCUAACUCAGAACGUAUUGGAAAGGAAUCCAAUAAUAGUGUUAUUAAUUCAUAUCUCUUACAAGUUAUAAUUGUAAAGCAUAGCAUAAAUAUAAUAAUUCAAUAGCUAAUCCAACAUAUACUUGUGGAACAGAUGUGUGUGUAUGCAAACAGUUUCCUACUAAUGACUGCAGGGCUUUAAAAGACAUUUUCCUCAUUCCUAAGACAAGACAUCAUGGCAAACAGCACAACUGCAAAGAGGGCUCAGAAGAGAAGUCAUGGGUAGUUUAGAUGACCAGGAAAGUCUGACAUUUAAGUUGUUCUAAACAAAAAUAUUUGAUAGGCAAAAAUUUAAUGGCAAAAGUAUCCCUCCCCCGGCAUAAGAGAUUAACAGUUUAUCCAGCAGUACCAUGACAAGGGAGUAUAGGAAUCGGAUGCCACCUAAGAGAAAGAGGUAGGAUUUAACCAAAGAGAUUGAGAAUAAAAACUAUGAAAUACUAGGUUUUGGACUAAGCAAAGAUUUGAAAUGCAGUGUGAUACUGCCAUCAUUUGAAGUACAUGUUCAGAAAGCUGUUUAGCUAUUCUAUAACUGUGUGGCAAUGAGUUAUGGAUCUGUGAUGGCAAAUUAGGCAAUGAGGACUCAAACCUGUGGGGCAGCAACAGAAAUUAUGAGUAAAGAACAGGAGGGAACGUGUUAAGAGAUGGGGUAAGGGUGCCCUGGAAAUUCCAAGGUGACCGAGUAUAAGAAUGAUGGCAGGCAGGGCUAUCUCAGGCAGAAAGGGAACAGGGAAGAUACAUGAGUUCACAUUUAGACAGAGUCCAAGUAUUGAUAUCAGUUGAGGACACUGAAUUAUUUAAUGGUUUUUCUAACUUGGUUUAUGAACUCUGAGAGAAGACCUCAAUGGCCUGAAUUCUAUGAUGAUGACAAGGAUUCAUGGGAAGCAACGUGAAUAUUGCAUUUUCAUGCGAGGCCCUGAAGCCCAUUUUCAUAACCUCAACAUUCUCGGGGAAGAAGGAAGAAAAGAAAGAGACAGACAAUGAUCUGUUAGCAUAGGCCACUUAACAGCUCUCUUGGUUUUAGUACACGGAAGUAAGAUUCUUUAUGAUCUAAAACCUGCACCUUAAAAGACUGGCUGUUUUAGGCUUAUUAUUUUAUUUCUAUAUUUAUAAAACUUGUUUUUGAAAAUUAAAAUGUAUCUUAGCAUACUAAGAGAAACAAAUAACAAUCUUUGCUUGCUUAUAUUACAAAUAACAGCUAAUGGCAGUUGACCACUUUCUGAUUCCAGGCCUUAAAUCUGCCAUCCAUCAUUUGCAUGAUACAAAUCCUAAUUAUUGCUUAAUUCCUAUUUUAUAGAGGCAGAACAGGCUUGGAGAGAUCAAGUAACUUGCUUUCACAAUCUACUGCUAGCCAGUGGCAGGGCAAAUAUUUAAAUGCAUGCUUUUAACCUUUAUGGGAUGCUGUUUUUGAGUUUUAAAUGGCAGGGGUGGGGCAACAGCUAUUCUGAGAAAAAAAAAAAAAAGAAAACCACAAAAGGGAAAGGGAAAGAGAGGGAAGGUCAUUAGGACCACUCUGCCAUCUUCCCUGCCUGAAGAUGCAUCUCCUGUAGCUCAUCACAGAGCCUUUGGGGAGUCCGGGUCUUACUUUAGAAAGGACGAACACUCUCAUAUGGUAAUAGACAGACAUUCUGACGAAAGUAUUCCAGACUGUGGAAAUGGGGUAGGGAAAGCAAUCAGACUGUAAGCAAAGCCUGGCAUCCCCUACCCAGAAGGAGCAAAUGAGACCAACAGAAAGGAAAUGAUGUGCAGGUAGAGAACUCAACAGGAAAUUUUAAGCUGCAAGCUUCCGCCAUCCAUCUUUAAUUUACUGAAGAAUCAGCCAAUUUUUAAAAUGUUAGAUGUUUAAUGCCCUUAAGAAGUUUCAUUCAAUUGGACUGGGUAAGGUCAGGAAUUAUGUAUUUUUCCACAAAUUUCUAGGUGACUUUGACAUAUGUAGUUAAGAGUACUAUUUUGAGAAAUACCAACUUAAGGUAUAGAAGAAAAAGAAAAGAAUAAAUGUUAAAAGGAGAGUGUGAAAGAGAAGACUUAAGGGAAAUCUCAUUAUAAUUUGAAGUUAUUAUUUCUGUAAUACAUUGUAAAGUUAUUUUAAAUAUGGCUCUAAAACAGAUUUGAUUCUUUUA
Molecule: long non-coding RNA, 3491 nt
Organism: Mesocricetus auratus (golden hamster)
Lineage: Eukaryota; Metazoa; Chordata; Mammalia; Rodentia; Cricetidae
Exons: 2
Source: RefSeq, a predicted model, not a curated record